Molecule: ribosomal RNA, 448 nt
Filed under: Bacteroidetes bacterium oral taxon 272
Lineage: Bacteria; Pseudomonadati; Bacteroidota
Description: bacterial SSU rRNA
Rfam family: Bacterial small subunit ribosomal RNA
Source: RNAcentral
GAUGAACGCUAGCUACAGGCUUAACACAUGCAAGUCGUGGGGCAUCAUGAUGUAGUAAUACAUUGAUGGCGACCGGCGCACGGGUGAGUAACGCGUAUCCAACCUACCCUCCACUCAAGUAUAGGCUUCCGAAAGGGAGAUUAAUCCUUGAUAUCGUCAUUCUCUCUCCUGUUAGAAUGAUAAAAGGACAUCGUUUCGGUAGAGGAUGGGGAUGCGUUCCAUUAGGUAGUAGGUGGUUUAACAGGCCACCUAGCCGAUGAUGGAUAGGGGUUCUGAGAGGAAUAUCCCCCACACUGGUACUGAGAUACGGACCAGACUCCUACGGGAGGCAGCAGCGAGGAAUAUUGGUCAAUGGGCGCAAGCCUGAACCAGCCAUGUAGCGUGAAGGAUGACGGUUUUUUUGAUUGUAAACUUCUUUUCUGUGCGAUUAAAGUGUGGCAUUUAUGCC